This 253-nucleotide ribosomal RNA is filed under the name Chlamydiales bacterium. RNAcentral describes it as "partial 16S ribosomal RNA". It matches the Rfam family "Bacterial small subunit ribosomal RNA", at positions 524 to 776 of the family's 1533-position model. The record is from RNAcentral. Lineage: Bacteria; Pseudomonadati; Chlamydiota; Chlamydiia; Chlamydiales. RNAcentral also lists the same sequence under 1 other name.
UACGGAGGGUGCAAGCGUUAGUCGGAAUUACUGGGCGUAAAGGGUGCGUAGGCGGGGAUGUAAGUCAGAUGUGAAAAACCGAAGCUCAACUUCGGCAGUGCAUCUGAAACUGCGUUUCUAGAGGGAUAGCGGAGAAAACGGAAUUCCACGUGUAGCGGUGAAAUGCGUAGAUAUGUGGAAGAACACCUGUGGCGAAAGCGGUUUUCUAGCUUACCCCUGACGCUGAGGCACGAAAGCAAGGGGAGCAAACAGG